ACUACGGGAGGCAGCAGUGAGGAAUAUUGGUCAAUGGACGCAAGUCUGAACCAGCCAUGCCGCGUGCAGGAAGACGGCUCUAUGAGUUGUAAACUGCUUUUGUACGAGGGUAAACGCAGAUACGCGUAUCUGUCUGAAAGUAUCGUACGAAUAAGGAUCGGCUAACUCCGUGCCAGCAGCCGGGGUAAUACGGAGGAUUCAAGCGUUAUCCGGCUUUAUUGGGUUUAAAGGGGGGUUAGGUGGUCGGAUAAGUUAGAGGUGAAACCCCGAGGCUCAAGUUCGUAAUUGCCUCUGAUACUGUUCGGCUAGAGAGUAGUUGCGGUAGGCGGAAUGUAUGGGGUAGCGGUGAAAUGCUUAGAGAUCAUACAGAACACCGAUUGCGAAGGCAGCUUACCAAGCUACUUCUGACGUUGAGGCACGAAAGCGUGGGGAGCAAACAGGAUUAGAUACCCGGGUAGUC
This 460-nucleotide ribosomal RNA is filed under the name uncultured bacterium. RNAcentral describes it as "partial 16S ribosomal RNA". It matches the Rfam family "Bacterial small subunit ribosomal RNA", at positions 338 to 795 of the family's 1533-position model. The record is from RNAcentral.